Molecule: long non-coding RNA, 5409 nt
Organism: Solanum pennellii
Lineage: Eukaryota; Viridiplantae; Streptophyta; Magnoliopsida; Solanales; Solanaceae
Exons: 2
Source: RefSeq, a predicted model, not a curated record
CCUCAAUGAGUCUAUAUCUUUGACUACCUUGCUGGGAAUCGAAAAAAGUGACAUCACAUAUGUUGGCAAAGAGUCUAAAACAGAAUUAAUCAAAGUGACUUUUCCCCCAAGGAUAGAUAUUGAGAUUUCCAAAGUGCCUGUCUCCCCUCUGAUUUUUUCUAGUACAUCAUCCCAGAUGCUAACUACCUUAUGCUUAGCACCCAAUGGCAUACCGAGAUAAACGGUAGGCAACCUUCUAUCUUGCACUUCAAUAUAUUGGCCAAAGCUUGAAUCUGUUGGACCUCUUUAAUAAGAAAAAUGCUACUUUUCCUCCAAUUCACCUUAAGUCCAGAGCAUGCCUCAAAAAUUACCAGAAUAAUUUUGAUGUGACAGAGUUGUUCCUGCUUCACAAAAAAUUAUUGUGUCAUCCAAAUACAGUAAAUGAGUCAUAUCCAUCACCUCAUUACUCCUGAUUUUGAUUGUGAAACUAAUCCAGUUGUUUAGAGAAGCUCUCCUCAUCAAACUGUCCAACCCUUCCAUGGCAAUGAUAAACAGGAAAGGGGACAAAGGGUCUCCUUGUCUAAGACCUCUUUCCGCAAGAAAAAAACCUACAGAUUCUCCAUUAACCAAAUGGAGAACCUCGUGGUUUUAAUACAAAACUCAAUCCACUUGAGCCAUGUAGGGACAAAACCCAUUUGCCUAAGAGUGUUGAUCAGGAAAUCCCAAUUAAGAUUUUUCAAUAUUCAGUUUGCACAUUACCCCUGGCACAUCUCCUCUAAUCCUAGUAUCAAUACAUUCACUAGCAAUUAAAGCAGCAUCCAUUAUUUGUCUCCCUUUAAUGAAAGCCAUUUUAUUUUUGUUGACUAGCUUGUCUAUCACCUUCUUCAGCCUUUCUACCAACAGUUUGACAAUUAUUUUAUAAACCCCAGUAAUGAGACUAUUGCUCUGAAGUCUUUUAGAUCAUUUGCCCCCACCUUCUUAGGAAUUACAGCUACAAAGGUAGCAUUGAAACUCUUCUCAAAACUUUGGUGACAGUGAAAGUGUUUGGAAGGUUUGCAUCAGAUCUUCCUUUAUAGUUUCCCAGAAUGCGUGAAAGAAGGCCAUGGUAUAACCAUCAGGUCCAUGUGCUUUAUCACAAGCGCACAAUCUUAUCCCUUCUAGCACUUCAUCCUCACUGAAAUUCUCUAGAUAACCAGCUCUGCUCAUCCAUUUUAUUCUCGGUACGUUAAGAAUAUUUAGUGAGGGUCUCCAGUUUUCUACCUCCUUAUACAAAUGGUGGUAAAAAUCCAGAAUAGAGUUCUUGAUUUCCGCCGGCUCAGAGGAUAACUCUCUAUUAAUCUUUAAUGACUCAAUUGUGUUGAUUCUCUUGUGAGUUGUUGCCAUUCUGUGGAAAUGUUUUCUAUUUUUAUCGCCAUUCUUGAUCCACUGAAUUCUGGACCUCUUUCUCCAAAAAAUUUCUUUAUUUUUUGCCACCUCCUCGUAUUCCAUGCCCAAGUGUACCUUUAGAAGCUGUUCAUCACCAGUAAGAGAUCUAGUCUCUUGAGUAACUUCCAUGUCCCUUAUCUGACUCAAAAUUUUCUCCUUCCUUGCUUUCCACUUCCCCCUAUUCUCUCUGCUCCAUUCCUUCAAUUUUGUUUUAAGCAACCUCAACUUAGUAGCUAGUUUGUAGUCUGGUCUUCCUAGCACUUCAAAGGAGCUCCACCAUUCCUGAACUUUACUUUUGAAACCCUCUAAAUUAAGCCACCACUUUUCAAACUUGAAUUAAGAUUUCCUGAAGGCCUUAUCCCCACAAGUUAAGACGAUGGGAUUAUGGUCAGACCCCAAGCUACGCAGAGUACAUUGCCUAAUUUGAAGGAACAUUUCAUCCCAUGGGAACGAGUAUAAAAAUCUGUCUAUCCUGGAGUCAUUCCUAUGAUUUGCCCCUCCUCUCCAAGUGUAUGAGCCCCCAAAUAAAGGGGGUUCAAUCAGCUCCAAUUCGUUGAUACAACUGGACAGAUCUAUCAUGGCUCUAGAAAGCCUGAUACAGUUGGUUUUCUCCGAAGGAAAUCUAGUAGUAUUGAAAUCCCCACAUACUACCCAAGGCCCUUCACAGAGACUCCUCAUAGCUCCUAAUUCUUCCCACAACUUCAUCCUUUCAUUUCUAUCACAAGAUGCAUAGACUGCUGUGAGAAACCAAGUUAGUUCUUGAUUAACUUUAUAUAAUUUACAAGUAAUUGAUUGAUUUCCAUAUUCCACCAUCUCCCCUUUCCAUGAUCUUUUGUCCCACAUAACUAAAAUUCCACUCUUGCUUCCAAUCUCUUCCAGCCAUACUCCCCCUAUCCACCUAUUCCCCCCUAAUUGUUGUAUAUAAUCCCCCACUGCCCCAUUUAGCUUUGUCUCCAUCAAAACUAUAAUAUCUACCCCCUCCUGUUGUAAAUGGGUUGGCUAGCCCAACUAAUUUGAUUGGGGUUUCACUUGACCUGCAGCAGUGGGGCCCCCAUAUGCAUGUCCCAUCACAUCCACAAGAUCAUUUCCCUCUCUCCUUAGCUCAAUUCUCUGUGAAGUCAACAUCUGCUUUAUGGCAUCAGCAGCUUUUUCUACAUGGCUGCUGGACCCCACAACACUCCUUAAAUGCAUAUCAUUAUCCACAUGAUCCUUUCUCUCUCUCCUUUGCCCUGAAACCUGGGAAGUCAACAUUUGCUUUAUGGAGUUAGCAACUUUAUCCCUUUCCUUUUCUAGCCUAGGACUGACUUCUUGGCUUUCAAACCACCUCAGAUCUGCGAAAUCUUGCUGGAGCUUCAACCCAAACUGUAAGGGAAAAAAUCAAACCACCAUCUUGAAUUUCAACUUCCCUGGAAAUAUUUUCAAUGGGACCUUUCCCUUUGAUUCGAGCCCAUCGCAGAUGAUUUUUUUUUGAGGAUUAAAAAAAAUAAAAAAAAUGGUGGUUUUCUCGUGGUUUCUUCUUCUGUCGCGAGCCAUCCCCCACAUUUAUCUCCUAUCUCUUUCAUAAUAUUUUCAGACCAUAGUUGGAGAGGUAGACCAAGUACUCGAAUCCAAAACCAUUGAAAGGUGGUGUGGGCUGGAUAAGCCCCAGAUGUCGGAGACCACCAGUCAAACUCAAGUUUAUUCCCCGUCUCUUCCAAUUACCAAGAAGAAUGUGUUCUGCAUCUUUCCUCGACUGGAAUUCGAACAGGAGUUGAAUGCCAUUCUUGUCGAAAACCUGAAUAUUGUGAACUCCUUUCCAAGUUUGUUGGAUCCACCUUCUCACAUCAUUUCUUGUUGGGAUCUCGUUGCAAUCUGGAAAGCUUCCUACUAGGCAUCUCUGUAAAAGAUCUUUUCCAUCUUGGUGUGAAGAAGCUGUCAUAAUGCCUUGUACCUUGGAGAUAGUUGGUUCCUGCACCAUCCAUCUGUUCUUGUACAGAGCAUCCUUGUAGCUGCCUUCUCCUCUCUUUGAAGGAUGAUUUAUCUCCCCUACUGCUGGAGUACCAGCUUGCAUUGAAGACCUCCUAUUAAUGAAGCUUUCAAUCCGGCUGACAAGUCCCAACCACCCCUCAUUGUCCUUGUUUUCUGGGAUAAUAAUAAUAGACCUCAUUUGGCCAUUGAUCGUAAUGAUCGACAAAAAAUGACCAAGCUUGUUGAACUUCAAAGAGCAAAAGAUAUUAGUUGAAACAUUUCUGCCUCUCCAUGUCUUGAACAUUUUACCCCUGACUUCUGAUGCUUCUCGCAACCUUCUGCGUAGCCAACCCAGAGCCCCUUUGCUCAAAGUCAUCCUCCUGGGGUAGUGCCUAGAGUUUUCCACCCAUUCAAACCAUGUAUCAGAAUACAUUAUAGUCUCUGUAAUGUCAAAAGAUUUCCCACCUAGUCUAAAGUAAGUAUGAUUUCCCAUGGUGAAAAAAAAGGCUUUCAAAGAAAUGAAGGAUAGGGAAAGAUUCCGGUGGUUGAGGACCACCAGCUAUAAAGUCAAUAUGUGACGAUCUUUGGGUCACGGGUGGGGGGUGGGGUGGGGGGGGGCGACUUUGUUUAGACAUAUUCUAGUUGGAUAGAGGAGCUAGAACUUAAAGAUCCUACUUCGAUGGGUAGGAGUUAAACUUGUUUUAGGGGGAUUACUCACCAAAGUGCUGCUAGGUUGGACAGUUUUUUGUAUUCUAUGGAAUGGGAGGAGAACUUCAAAAGCAUCAGACUGAGAAUCCUUCCAAGAGUAGCUUCUGAUCCAUGUAUCAUUCUUGAAUGUGGAGACUGGGAAGUGGGAACAGAGACAACCUUAUUUCAAAUUCGAAGAGUAGCUUCUGAUCCAUCUUUACAUACACGAUGAGCCUAUUUCCUAUUCCUAAAAGCAUAGAAAAAAGAAUCAAUAGAUUGAGAAGACCCUUCCUAUGGAAAGGGAAUAAGCAGAAGAGAGGCUACAAUAUGGUAAAAUGGGAUAUUUUUACCCUUGAGAUAAAGGGGGUCUUGGACUGAAGAACCUCAGCAAACAGAACAAUUGUCUUCUAUAAAAGUGGUUAUGGAGAUUCUGCACAGAAGAUGGGGCCUUAUGGAGAAGGCACAUAGCAGGAAAGUAUGGCUUACUUAGCUACUGAAUAGCUGAAGAAGUCAUGAGCACAUUUGGUCGUAGUGUCUGGAUCAGGAGACUUUGGCCUUACUUUAUCAACAACAUCUCCAUUGGUGUUGGUAAUGGUCUGAAAAAUGCUUUCUGAAAUGAAGUUUGGGUAGGGGAGAGCAGCUUGAGAAACUUAUUCCCCCAAUUAUACUCUUUGAGCUUGUAGAAAAAAGAUACUCUUCUAGUGUGGAGCCAGCAGGGAUGAAACCUACUCUUCAGGAGAGCAAUAAAUGGCUGGGAAAUCAGACGAGUAGCAAGCCUUCUGGGAACGUUAAACACUUGCCCUGGUAUUUCUAUGAGCCCAGAGAAGCCAAUCUGGAAACUACAUAGCAAAGCCACUUCAUCGUCAAGUCAUGUUACUGGAAUAUCGAUUCCAAACAGAUGGCAACAGACACAGGGCCUUGGAAGGAAAUCUUGGAAGGUAGAAGUCCACUAAAGGUGACUUGUUUCUCAUGGCUAGUGUGCAGGAAAGCCUGCCUCACACAUGAGGCACUGCAGAGAAGUGGAUGGCAGGAGUUAGCUGGGUGAUGCCCAAGACAACCUUGGAGUUGAUGAAUCAAUGGUCAGGAAUUGGCAACAGAGAGAGAUAAAGAUUGGUGGAAGACAAUAUCAGCUUGAUAUGGUGGAACUUAAGGAGAGGAAUGAUAGGUGCUUUGAAGAUCAGAGAGUCAACUUACUGAAGAUAAGGAUGAAGUGUAUAAGCCUGCUAUUUUUCUUGUGUAAACAAGAGUUCAUAGGGAAGGCAGUAUUUUAGGUAGAUUUCAUAGGAAACUUGUAAAUGUACCCAAAUGGGGGUGUGCCCACCACUCUGUGGAUUCAUUGAAUGAUGAAUUGUAUAUGUGAAUACAAAGUUA